RNAcentral lists this ribosomal RNA (463 nucleotides) under uncultured bacterium. RNAcentral's name for it is "partial 16S ribosomal RNA". It matches the Rfam family "Bacterial small subunit ribosomal RNA", at positions 28 to 507 of the family's 1533-position model. The record is from RNAcentral.
GAUGAACGCUGACAGAAUGCUUAACACAUGCAAGUCUUUGGCGAAGCUGUGCUUGCACAGCCUAGCCAAGGCGGACGGGUGAGUAACGCGUAAGGAACUUGCCCUGCAGUCAGGGAUAACAGACGGAAACGACUGAUAAGACCUGGUAAAGUCAGGCGGACUCAUGUCCAGCCUGAUGAAAAGAGAUGCUGCAGGAGAGCCUUGCGUCCUAUUAGCUUGUUGGUGGGGUAACGGCCCACCAAGGCGAUGAUAGGUAGCCGGCCUGAGAGGGUGGACGGCCACAAGGGGACUGAGAUACGGCCCUUACUCCUACGGGAGGCGGCAGUGGGGAAUAUUGGACAAUGGGGGCAACACUGAUCCAGCAAUUCUGUGUGCACGAUGAAGGUUUUCGGAUUGUAAAGUGCUUUCAGCAGGGAAGAAAAAAAUGACGGUACCUGCAGAAGAAGCGACGGCUAAAUACGUG